GACGAACGCUGGCGGCGUGCUUAACACAUGCAAGUCGAACGGUAAGGCCCUUCGGGGUACACGAGUGGCGAACGGGUGAGUAACACGUGGGUGAUCUGCCCUGCACCUCGGGAUAAGCCUGGGAAACUGGGUCUAAUACCGGAUAUGACCUCUGCGGGGCGUCGCGGAGGUGGAAAGUUUUUCGGUGAAGGAUGGGCCCGCGGCCUAUCAGCUUGUUGGUGAGGUAGUGGCUCACCAAGGCGACGACGGGGAGCCGGCCUGAGAGGGCGACCGGCCACACUGGGACUGAGACACGGCCCAGACUCCUACGGGAGGCAGCAGUGGGGAAUAUUGCGCAAUGGGCGAAAGCCUGACGCAGCAACGCCGCGUGCGGGAUGACGGCCUUCGGGUUGUAAACCGCUUUCAGCAGGGAAGAAGCCGCAAGGUGACGGUACCUGCAGAAGAAGCACCGGCUAACUACGUGCCAGCCGCCGCGGUAA
RNAcentral lists this ribosomal RNA (479 nucleotides) under uncultured bacterium. RNAcentral's name for it is "partial 16S ribosomal RNA". It matches the Rfam family "Bacterial small subunit ribosomal RNA", at positions 28 to 523 of the family's 1533-position model. The record is from RNAcentral.